Molecule: ribosomal RNA, 612 nt
Filed under: Escherichia coli
Lineage: Bacteria; Pseudomonadati; Pseudomonadota; Gammaproteobacteria; Enterobacterales; Enterobacteriaceae
Description: partial 23S ribosomal RNA
Rfam family: Bacterial large subunit ribosomal RNA
Source: RNAcentral
AGACCCGAAACCCGGUGAUCUAGCCAUGGGCAGGUUGAAGGUUGGGUAACACUAACUGGAGGACCGAACCGACUAAUGUUGAAAAAUUAGCGGAUGACUUGUGGCUGGGGGUGAAAGGCCAAUCAAACCGGGAGAUAGCUGGUUCUCCCCGAAAGCUAUUUAGGUAGCGCCUCGUGAAUUCAUCUCCGGGGGUAGAGCACUGUUUCGGCAAGGGGGUCAUCCCGACUUACCAACCCGAUGCAAACUGCGAAUACCGGAGAAUGUUAUCACGGGAGACACACGGCGGGUGCUAACGUCCGUCGUGAAGAGGGAAACAACCCAGACCGCCAGCUAAGGUCCCAAAGUCAUGGUUAAGUGGGAAACGAUGUGGGAAGGCCCAGACAGCCAGGAUGUUGGCUUAGAAGCAGCCAUCAUUUAAAGAAAGCGUAAUAGCUCACUGGUCGAGUCGGCCUGCGCGGAAGAUGUAACGGGGCUAAACCAUGCACCGAAGCUGCGGCAGCGACACUGUGUGUUGUUGGGUAGGGGAGCGUUCUGUAAGCCUGUGAAGGUGUGCUGUGAGGCAUGCUGGAGGUAUCAGAAGUGCGAAUGCUGACAUAAGUAACGAUAAAGCGG